CUCUCUGCAACGGAUUUUGUAUGGCUCCACCACUCUCUGGCAAGUCACGAUAAUGGAUACCACUCCACUCUCCAGGCUCUACCACUUUCUGGCAAGUCGCGACAACGGUCACCACUCCACUUUCCGUAACAAACUCCAUGUGGCCAUGAACGACCCCUGAUGCCACUACUCUCUGUAACAAACUUCACGCGGCUCUGAACAGCCCACUACCAGGCGGUUACAAACGUCGCUGUCAAUCAGUUACGCUCUCCGUCUAUAAAAAGGGAUCCCCAGAUACGUUCUUCUCUAAGCUCUAAACUCUAUCUCGAAACUCUGCUAAAAUUUCCACUCGAGUACUCUAUUUCUGUUGAAGCAGAGUACUGACUUGAGCGUCGGAGGGUCUUGCCGGAGCACCCCCAACUCCGGUUUAGACUUUUUUUUGCAGGUCCCGAUGGCGGCUGCGGUCAUCUCAACUCCAGCAACUCCGACUUCGAUGGAAUUCUGCACCAACAGGAGUAAUUGAGUGACUGAUUGGAGCAUUGAAGUGGCUGUCAAAGCACUAGAAUGGUUGAUUGAAACAGGUUGGUCACCUAGAGGCCAAAGUAAUUGAAAGAAGCACCAAGGUUGAGGAUCAAAGUGCUAGACUGGUCAAUUAAGCACCAAAGUAGUUGAUCCAAGAGUGGAUGAUUAAAACAUUAGAAUGCC
Molecule: long non-coding RNA, 684 nt
Filed under: Elaeis guineensis (African oil palm)
Lineage: Eukaryota; Viridiplantae; Streptophyta; Magnoliopsida; Arecales; Arecaceae
Description: long non-coding RNA (EGUI_LNC055351)
Source: RNAcentral